GACGAACGCUGGCGGCGUGCUUAACACAUGCAAGUCGAACGGAAAGGCCCUGCUUGCAGGGUACUCGAGUGGCGAACGGGUGAGUAACACGUGGGUGAUCUGCCCUGCACUUCGGGAUAAGCCUGGGAAACUGGGUCUAAUACCGGAUAGGAGCCAUUUAGUGUGAUGGUUGGAAAGUUUUUUCGGUGUAGGAUGAGCUCGCGGCCUAUCAGCUUGUUGGUGGGGUAAUGGCCUACCAAGGCGGCGACGGGUAGCCGGCCUGAGAGGGUGGACGGCCACAUUGGGACUGAGAUACGGCCCAGACUCCUACGGGAGGCAGCAGUGGGGAAUAUUGCACAAUGGGCGCAAGCCUGAUGCAGCGACGCCGCGUGGGGGAUGACGGCCUUCGGGUUGUAAACUCCUUUCGCUAGGGACGAAGCUUUUUGUGACGGUACCUAGAUAAGAAGCACCGGCUAACUACGUG
This 463-nucleotide ribosomal RNA is filed under the name uncultured bacterium. RNAcentral describes it as "partial 16S ribosomal RNA". It matches the Rfam family "Bacterial small subunit ribosomal RNA", at positions 28 to 507 of the family's 1533-position model. The record is from RNAcentral.